Molecule: ribosomal RNA, 433 nt
Filed under: uncultured bacterium
Lineage: Bacteria
Description: partial 16S ribosomal RNA
Rfam family: Bacterial small subunit ribosomal RNA
Source: RNAcentral
AGCGAACGCUGGCGGCAGGCCUAACACAUGCAAGUCGAACGAACUCUUCGGAGUUAGUGGCGGACGGGUGAGUAACACGUGGGAACGUGCCUUUAGGUUCGGAAUAACUCAGGGAAACUUGUGCUAAUACCGAAUGUGCCCUUCGGGGGAAAGAUUUAUCGCCUUUAGAGCGGCCCGCGUCUGAUUAGCUAGUUGGUGAGGUAAAGGCUCACCAAGGCGACGAUCAGUAGCUGGUCUGAGAGGAUGAUCAGCCACAUUGGGACUGAGACACGGCCCAAACUCCUACGGGAGGCAGCAGUGGGGAAUCUUGCGCAAUGGGCGAAAGCCUGACGCAGCCAUGCCGCGUGAAUGAUGAAGGUCUUAGGAUUGUAUAAUUCUUUCACCGGGGACGAUAAUGACGGUACCCGGAGAAGAAGCCCCGGCUAACUUCGUG